RNAcentral lists this ribosomal RNA (261 nucleotides) under uncultured bacterium. Its description in RNAcentral is "partial 16S ribosomal RNA". It matches the Rfam family "Bacterial small subunit ribosomal RNA", at positions 524 to 776 of the family's 1533-position model. The record is from RNAcentral.
UACGUAGGUGGCAAGCGAUACUCGGAAUCACUAGGCGUAAAGCGCAGGUAGGAGGUUUUAGAAAGUCUCUUGUGAAAGCCUCCCGGCUCAACUGGGAGAGGUCAAGGGAAACUACUAGGCUUAGAGUGGCAGGUAGAGGUAGCUGGAAUUCCCGGUGUGAGCGGUGGAAAUGACGUAGAUAUCGGGAGGAAUACCUAUGGCGAAAGCAGGCUACUGGACCGUCACUGACUCUGAUCUGCGAAAGCUAGGGGAGCAAACAGG